CGGUUUGAUUGUGUAUGACACUAACAUGCUUGAAUAUUUGUAUAGAGCAAUAAAUAUAUGUAUUAAUGCUUACUAUAGUAAUAAAGUCUUUAUGUAUUCAUUGACUAAUAUCGUUGAGGGUUACCUAUCCUGUUAUUACUUUCUUUUGGAUUACAAAUGACUUGAUAUGUAUCUGAACCAGACAAUUUGGCCAUGCUUCUUGCAACAUGCAGCAUAAAUUUUAUAAAGAUGACAUAUGAUAAUUACCCAUCUCAUUUCUAUAGUUUUUGUUGGUUCUCAUCUUAUUAGUUUUAUAGUGAAUGAAACAGUUUACAAUUCUUAAUUUGGUUGCCAAGAUCUCUGUUCUAUCUUUAAUAUUCUCAUCAAUGAAGGAACUCAUUUUGCUUUUCGUUCCCCUGCAUAUGUCUCAUAUUUUUUUUUGAAAUGUGAUGUUAUUUUGCUAUAGGAGCAUAGAAUGUAUGAUGCUCUGUCCAUGGAAUUUAUUACAGGGUAUAAGACAGGGGGAAAUGGCUGAAGGAAUUGUACACCUGGAAAGAAUUGCAAAUUUGGAAGAGCCAGAGGAAAAAAGUUCCAAAGCCCAUUAUUAUGAUGGAUUGGUAUUACUUUCAAGUGCUUUAUAUAAUGUAGGUCGCAAGGCUGAAGCUGUAAAGCAUCU
This is a long non-coding RNA of Pistacia vera, 655 nucleotides long. RefSeq lists it as uncharacterized. The record is from RefSeq and is a predicted model, not a curated record. Lineage: Eukaryota; Viridiplantae; Streptophyta; Magnoliopsida; Sapindales; Anacardiaceae. The transcript is spliced from 3 exons.